CCUACGGGAGGCAGCAGUAAGGAAUAUUGGUCAAUGGACGCAAGUCUGAACCAGCCAUGCCGCGUGAAGGAUGAAGGCCCUCUGGGUUGUAAACUUCUUUUAUCUGGGACGAAAAAAGGGAAUUCUUUCCCACUUGACGGUACCAGAGGAAUAAGCACCGGCUAACUCCGUGCCAGCAGCCGCGGUAAUACGGAGGGUGCAAGCGUUAUCCGGAUUUACUGGGUUUAAAGGGUGCGUAGGUGGAUUAGUAAGUCAGGGGUGAAAUCUUCAAGCUUAACUUGGAAACUGCCUUUGAUACUAUUAGUCUUGAAUAUCCUGGAGGUGAGCGGAAUAUGUCAUGUAGCGGUGAAAUGCUUAGAUAUGACAUAGAACACCAAUUGCGAAGGCAGCUCACUACGGGAUCAUUGACACUGAGGCACGAAAGCGUGGGGAUCAAACA
Molecule: ribosomal RNA, 439 nt
Filed under: uncultured Ferruginibacter sp.
Lineage: Bacteria; Pseudomonadati; Bacteroidota; Chitinophagia; Chitinophagales; Chitinophagaceae
Description: bacterial SSU rRNA
Rfam family: Bacterial small subunit ribosomal RNA
Source: RNAcentral